RNAcentral lists this ribosomal RNA (274 nucleotides) under uncultured bacterium. RNAcentral describes it as "partial 16S ribosomal RNA". It matches the Rfam family "Bacterial small subunit ribosomal RNA", at positions 523 to 796 of the family's 1533-position model. The record is from RNAcentral.
AUACGGAGGGUGCGAGCGUUAAUCGGAAUUACUGGGCGUAAAGCGUACGUAGGCGGUUGGUUAAGUUAGAUGUGAAAGCCCCGGGCUUAACUUGGGAACUGCAUUUGAAACUGGGUAACUAGAGUUUAGUAGAGGGGAGUGGAAUUUCAGGUGUAGCGGUGAAAUGCGUAGAGAUCUGAAGGAACACCAGUGGCGAAGGCGACUCCCUGGACUAAAACUGACGCUGAGGUACGAAAGCGUGGGUAGCAAACAGGAUUAGAUACCCGGGUAGUCC